Molecule: non-coding RNA, 39 nt
Organism: Schistosoma rodhaini
Lineage: Eukaryota; Metazoa; Platyhelminthes; Trematoda; Strigeidida; Schistosomatidae
Source: Rfam
CUGACGAGUCCCAAAUAGGACGAAACGCGUGUCCUGGAU